GGAGCUAAUACGGAUAAUAUAUUGAACCGCAUGGUUCAAUAGUGAAAGAGGUUUUGCUGUCACUUAUAGAUGGAUCCGCGCCGCAUUAGCUAGUUGGUAAGGUAACGGCUUACCAAGGCAACGAUGCGUAGCCGACCUGAGAGGGUGAUCGGCCACACUGGAACUGAGACACGGUCCAGACUCCUACGGGAGGCAGCAGCU
This 201-nucleotide ribosomal RNA is filed under the name uncultured Staphylococcus sp. RNAcentral's name for it is "partial 16S ribosomal RNA". It matches the Rfam family "Bacterial small subunit ribosomal RNA", at positions 159 to 355 of the family's 1533-position model. The record is from RNAcentral. Lineage: Bacteria; Bacillati; Bacillota; Bacilli; Caryophanales; Staphylococcaceae.